RNAcentral lists this ribosomal RNA (422 nucleotides) under uncultured bacterium. RNAcentral's name for it is "bacterial SSU rRNA". It matches the Rfam family "Bacterial small subunit ribosomal RNA", at positions 28 to 432 of the family's 1533-position model. The record is from RNAcentral.
GAUGAACGCUGGCGGCGUGCUUAACACAUGCAAGUCGAGCGAAGCGCUUUGGUUAGAUUCUUCGGAUGAAGACCUUUGUGACUGAGCGGCGGACGGGUGAGUAACGCGUGGGUAACCUGCCUCAUACAGGGGGAUAACAGUUAGAAAUGACUGCUAAUACCGCAUAAGCGCACGGAACCGCAUGGUUUUGUGUGAAAAACCCCGGUGGUAUGAGAUGGACCCGCGUCUGAUUAGCUGGUUGGUGGGGUAACGGCCUACCAAGGCGACGAUCAGUAGCCGGCCUGAGAGGGCGACCGGCACAUUGGGACUGAGACACGGGCCCAAACUCCUACGGGAGCCAGCAGUGGGGAAUAUUGGCACAAUGGGCAAAGCCUGAUGCAGCGACGCCGCGUGAGCGAUGAAGUAUUUCGGGAUGUAAAGCU